RNAcentral lists this long non-coding RNA (393 nucleotides) under Equus caballus (horse). RNAcentral's name for it is "lncRNA (ENSECAG00000028487.2)". Lineage: Eukaryota; Metazoa; Chordata; Mammalia; Perissodactyla; Equidae. The record is from RNAcentral.
CUUAAAUGUAACAGUGUUUGAGUAAGAUGAAUCUGACACUCGUGCAUAGUGAGGACAACGAAAUGAGGGAGCCAUAGAAGAGAUGGCAGAAGAGAAAAGCAAUGGAAAAUGCAAGAGAACUAAGCAGCAGAAACCGGGAGAGGACAUUCAGACUGGACUCUGGAGUCUUGGAUCAAGGAAUGAUGCCUGCUAACAUCCUCAGUUCUCUGCCCUCUCCUGUCAGCUUGCCACAAUAACGUCUCCUUGCUCUGGGGCAGCCUGCAUCCAAGCUGUGGUUGAUGUGGAGGUGAGGGCUGGAGAGUGGGUUAUAAAAGCUCGAAGUCUUUGUUUCAGUUGAGGAAAUAUCUGAAGGGCUAUCCCAGCUUCCAACUUCGGAAUGUCCCUUGUUAUGAC